RNAcentral lists this ribosomal RNA (460 nucleotides) under uncultured bacterium. Its description in RNAcentral is "partial 16S ribosomal RNA". It matches the Rfam family "Bacterial small subunit ribosomal RNA", at positions 338 to 795 of the family's 1533-position model. The record is from RNAcentral.
CCUACGGGAGGCAGCAGUGAGGAAUAUUGGUCAAUGGACGAGAGUCUGAACCAGCCAAGUAGCGUGAAGGAUGACUGCCCUAUGGGUUGUAAACUUCUUUUAUAAAGGAAUAAAACGAGGCACGUGUGCCUUUUUGCAUGUACUUUAUGAAUAAGGAUCGGCUAACUCCGUGCCAGCAGCCGCGGUAAUACGGAGGAUCCGAGCGUUAUCCGGAUUUUUUGGGUUUAAAGGGAGCCUAGAUGGGUUGUUAAGUCAGUUGUGAAAGUUUGCGGCUCAAACGUAAAAUUGCAAUUGAUACUGGCAGUCUUGAGUACAGUUGAGGUAGGCGGAAUUCGUGGUGUAGCGGUGAAAUGCUUAGAUAUCACGAAGAACCCCGAUUGCGAAGGCAGCUUACUAAACUGUGACUGACAUUGAUGCUCGAAAGUGUGGGUAUCAAACAGGAUUAGAUACCCUUGUAGUC